GUACAAGCAGUGGGAGCACAGGUUUACCUGUGUGACUGCGUACCUUUUGUAUAAUGGGUCAGCGACUUAUAUUCUGUAGCAAGGUUAACCGUAUAGGGGAGCCGGAGGGAAACCGAGUCUUAAUUGGGCGUUAAGUUGCAGGGUAUAGACCCGAAACCCGGUGAUCUAGCCAUGGGCAGGUUGAAGGUUGGGUAACACUAACUGGAGGACCGAACCGACUAAUGUUGAAAAAUUAGCGGAUGACCUGUGGCUGGGGGUGAAAGGCCAAUCAAACCGGGAGAUAGCUGGUUCUCCCCGAAAGCUAUUUAGGUAGCGCCUCGUGAAUUCAUCUCCGGGGGUAGAGCACUGUUUCGGCUAGGGGGCCAUCCCGGCUUACCAACCCGAUGCAAACUGCGAAUACCGGAGAAUGUUAUCACGGGAGACACACGGCGGGUGCUAACGUCCGUCGUGAAGAGGGAAACAACCCAGACCGCCAGCUAAGGUCCCAAAGUCAUGGUUAAGUGGGAAACGAUGUGGGAAGGCCCAGACAGCCAGGAUGUUGGCUUAGAAGCAGCCAUCAUUUAAAGAAAGCGUAAUAGCUCACUGGUCGAGUCGGCCUGCGCGGAAGAUGUAACGGGGCUAAACCAUGCACCGAAGCUGCGGCAGCGAACGUAUCACCCAAGACAACUUUACGGAGUUGACGAUUGACGGAGCGAAGCGACGUCAAAGCGUUCAUUAAAGUCGAGUUGGCUUAGGGAUACGUUCGUUGGGUAGGGGAGCGUUCUGUAAGCCUGUGAAGGUGUGUCGUGAGGCAUGCUGGAGGUAUCAGAAGUGCGAAUGCUGACAUAAGUAACGAUAAAGCGGGUGAAAAGCCCGCUCGCCGGAAGACCAAGGGUUCCUGUCCAACGUUAAUCGGGGCAGGGUGAGUCGACCCCUAAGGCGAGGCCGAAAGGCGUAGUCGAUGGGAAACGGGUUAAUAUUCCCGUACUUGGUGUUACUGCGAAGGGGGGACGGAGAAGGCUAUGUUGGCCGGGCGACGGUUGUCCCGGUUUAAGCGUGUAGGUGUGUGUUCCAGGUAAAUCCGGUUCACUUUAACACUGAGGCGUGACGACGAGGCACUACGGUGCUGAAGCAACAAAUGCCCUGCUUCCAGGAAAAGCCUCUAAGCAUCAGGUAACAUCAAAUCGUACCCCAAACCGACACAGGUGGUCAGGUAGAGAAUACCAAGGCGCUUGAGAGAACUCGGGUGAAGGAACUAGGCAAAAUGGUGCCGUAACUUCGGGAGAAGGCACGCUGACACGUAGGUGAAGUGAUUUACUCAUGGAGCUGAAGUCAGUCGAAGAUACCAGCUGGCUGCAACUGUUUAUUAAAAACACAGCACUGUGCAAACACGAAAGUGGACGUAUACGGUGUGACGCCUGCCCGGUGCCGGAAGGUUAAUUGAUGGGGUCAGCGCAAGCGAAGCUCCUGAUCGAAGCCCCGGUAAACGGCGGCCGUAACUAUAACGGUCCUAAGGUAGCGAAAUUCCUUGUCGGGUAAGUUCCGACCUGCACGAAUGGCGUAAUGAUGGCCAGGCUGUCUCCACCCGAGACUCAGUGAAAUUGAACUCGCUGUGAAGAUGCAGUGUACCCGCGGCAAGACGGAAAGACCCCGUGAACCUUUACUAUAGCUUGACACUGAACAUUGAGCCUUGAUGUGUAGGAUAGGUGGGAGGCUUUGAAGUGUGGACGCCAGUCUGCAUGGAGCCGACCUUGAAAUACCACCCUUUAAUGUUUGAUGUUCUAACGUGGACCCGUAAUCCGGGUUGCGGACAGUGUCUGGUGGGUAGUUUGACUGGGGCGGUCUCCUCCUAAAGAGUAACGGAGGAGCACGAAGGUUGGCUAAUCCUGGUCGGACAUCAGGAGGUUAGUGCAAUGGCAUAAGCCAGCUUGACUGCGAGCGUGACGGCGCGAGCAGGUGCGAAAGCAGGUCAUAGUGAUCCGGUGGUUCUGAAUGGAAGGGCCAUCGCUCAACGGAUAAAAGGUACUCCGGGGAUAACAGGCUGAUACCGCCCAAGAGUUCAUAUCGACGGCGGUGUUUGGCACCUCGAUGUCGGCUCAUCACAUCCUGGGGCUGAAGUAGGUCCCAAGGGUAUGGCUGUUCGCCAUUUAAAGUGGUACGCGAGCUGGGUUUAGAACGUCGUGAGACAGUUCGGUCCCUAUCUGCCGUGGGCGCUGGAGAACUGAGGGGGGCUGCUCCUAGUACGAGAGGACCGGAGUGGACGCAUCACUGGUGUUCGGGUUGUCAUGCCAAUGGCACUGCCCGGUAGCUAAAUGCGGAAGAGAUAAGUGCUGAAAGCAUCUAAGCACGAAACUUGCCCCGAGAUGAGUUCUCCCUGAGACUUAGAGUCUCCUGAAGGAACGUUGAAGACGACGACGUUGAUAGGCCGGGUGUGUAAGCGCAGCGAUGCGUUGAGCUAACCGGUACUAAUGAACCGUGAGGCUUAACCUUACA
This 2472-nucleotide ribosomal RNA is filed under the name Salmonella enterica subsp. enterica serovar Typhimurium. RNAcentral describes it as "partial 23S ribosomal RNA". It matches the Rfam family "Bacterial large subunit ribosomal RNA", at positions 564 to 2925 of the family's 2925-position model. Lineage: Bacteria; Pseudomonadati; Pseudomonadota; Gammaproteobacteria; Enterobacterales; Enterobacteriaceae. The record is from RNAcentral.